Panicum hallii is the source of this 341-nucleotide long non-coding RNA. RefSeq lists it as uncharacterized. The transcript is spliced from 2 exons. Lineage: Eukaryota; Viridiplantae; Streptophyta; Magnoliopsida; Poales; Poaceae. The record is from RefSeq and is a predicted model, not a curated record.
CAUUGGUCUAGGAACUGCAAGAAGUACUUGGAAGAAAAGAAAAAGAAGAAAGGAAGUGAGACUUCCACUUCAGGGUCUAAGUGAGACUAGAAGAUUUGCAAGAGGCGAGUUGGACGUUCGUGUCGGCAAUGGCGCAAAGGUUACGGUGUUGGCGGUCGGCACCUACCACUUGUCUCUACCCUCCGGAUUAGUUUUGGAAUUAAAUAAUUAUUAUUGCAUUCCUGCUUUGAACAAGAACAUUAUUUCUUCUUCAUGUUUGGAAGAAGUUGAUGAUUUUAAGAUUGUAAUAGAGAACAAACGUUGUUCUAUUUUUUGGAAUGGUAUUUUUUAUGCUCAUUGUC